RNAcentral lists this non-coding RNA (144 nucleotides) under Lachnospira rogosae (ex Hitch et al. 2025). Lineage: Bacteria; Bacillati; Bacillota; Clostridia; Lachnospirales; Lachnospiraceae. The record is from RNAcentral.
AUAUUCCAAGCUAUUCUUACAAUAAACAGCAAUGGCAGGACACGAUGUCCUGCCAAGCGACUACUGAGCCACGAUGGCGAAUAGGAGCGUAUGCGUCCGUCCUCACCACCUGCAUUAAGAAUAGCUUAAGAAUAUCCAAUUGUC